AGAGUUUGAUCCUGGCUCAGAUUGAACGCUGGCGGCAGGCUUAACACAUGCAAGUCGAGCGGAGCGAAGGUGCUUGCACCUUAGCUUAGCGGCGGACGGGUGAGUAAUGCUUAGGAAUCUGCCUAUUAGUGGGGGACAACGUUUCGAAAGGAACGCUAAUACCGCAUACGUCCUACGGGAGAAAGCAGGGGAUCUUCGGACCUUGUGCUAAUAGAUGAGCCUAAGUCGGAUUAGCUAGUUGGUGGGGUAAAGGCCUACCAAGGCGACGAUCUGUAGCGGGUCUGAGAGGAUGAUCCGCCACACUGGGACUGAGACACGGCCCAGACUCCUACGGGAGGCAGCAGUGGGGAAUAUUGGACAAUGGGCGAAAGCCUGAUCCAGCCAUGCCGCGUGUGUGAAGAAGGCCUUUUGGUUGUAAAGCACUUUAAGCGAGGAGGAGGAGCUUCAGGUUAAUACCCUGGAUGCUUGGACGUUACUCGCAGAAUAAGCACCGGCUAACUCUGUGCCAGCAGCCGCGGUAAUACAGAGGGUGCAAGCGUUAAUCGGAUUUACUGGGCGUAAAGCGUGCGUAGGCGGCUAAUUAAGUCAAAUGUGAAAUCCCCGAGCUUAACUUGGGAAUUGCAUUCGAUACUGGUUAGCUAGAGUAUGGGAGAGGAUGGUAGAAUUCCAGGUGUAGCGGUGAAUGCGUAGAGAUCUGGAGGAAUACCGAUGGCGAAGGCAGCCAUCUGGCCUAAUACUGACGCUGAGGUACGAAAGCAUGGGGAGCAAACAGGAUUAGAUACCCUGGUAGUCCAUGCCGU
RNAcentral lists this ribosomal RNA (800 nucleotides) under uncultured bacterium. RNAcentral's name for it is "bacterial SSU rRNA". It matches the Rfam family "Bacterial small subunit ribosomal RNA", at positions 8 to 803 of the family's 1533-position model. The record is from RNAcentral.